This 1358-nucleotide long non-coding RNA is filed under the name Oryctolagus cuniculus (rabbit). Its description in RNAcentral is "lncRNA (ENSOCUG00000033671.1)". The record is from RNAcentral. Lineage: Eukaryota; Metazoa; Chordata; Mammalia; Lagomorpha; Leporidae.
UAAGGUAGUAGCAGACAUUUUUUAACCAUUGAUCCCAGAAAGGGCACACCUUCCAACACCACCCCUACUGCGCCUCCCGGCAAAGCAUGAUGUGAUUGAUCCCUAACAACAAGCAGCUCACAAACUAUUUAACCUCUAAAGUAGGGAACGGCCUCAUGAUUGCUAACUGUGAAACCCCAUAGUAACGAGCUCAUUAUUUCCAACCUUAUUGUUCUGUAUUUGGUAAUUAGCUAAGGAAGAGACAGAGUAAAAUUAGAAAUUGUUAUGGGAAAUACAAAAUGUAUACUUUUCUUUCAUCAGUGUUGCACUUCUAUUUUUUGUUUUAUUUAAAUGUUAGUAUUUGAAAAACCAUUAUUUUUCAUCCAUCCCCCAGCUUUCAGUGUCACUUAAGAAAAUACCCUAAGAUGUGUAUUAUUGUGUUCUAAUUACAGUUGAGGGCGCAGUGGCAUGUGAUUGUCAUAUAAUAACUAAAGCCCUGGAGUGCCUUUUUAUUCCAUUAAAAAUGACCUUAGCUUUGGAUCACAGGACUCUGCAUUGAUUUGUCUUUUUUUGUGGUUUCCUCUCCACAGGUCUGCUUCCUCAUCCAGGGUGAUGCAUUGAAUUAUGACCCAUAUGGGUCAGUGAAAUUAACUAUCUUUCCCGUGAGAAAUAAUUCAUCAAUCAGUGUUUUCUAUUAAUGUGAGGGAACAAAGUUAUAUGAAGUAUAUAGAAAAAAUUUUAAAAACAAAAAAUUUGAUAAAAGUACAUUUUCUUUGUGAGAUACAACUUGUGAUAAAGAUGAGUAAAUCAAUUGCUGUUGAUGAUGUGAUUAUGGUUUUGGCACUAGGCAGGAGGUUAGGAUAAAUGUUGUAAGGGGCCCUAAUAUUCCGUGGCUUAACUUUUCUAGGAAAUAAUUAAGCUUGAACAGAGGGUAAAAACAUGUCUUCUCUUAAUCUACAUUUUUGUGGUACCUUGAUCUGACCAAAAAUGGUAAUCAUAAUACACCCAAAUUUUGUAGCUUAAAACAUAUACCUUAUGCAUCAGGUCUAUGGAGAGGCCUCCACAAUAGCUAGCAUUCAGCUGGAAGAUACUACGGCUAGGUGGGACAGGGGAGAACUUGAUGACUAGAAUCUUCUGUAGCUGUGUUGUCCUGUAUGGAACUAAGUGACUAAGUUUCAAUUGUGUUGUUGAAAUACCUAGUCUACUCCAAUUCAAUCCCAUCCAGGUGGCAUGUACCAAUGCCAUCUCACUAGUCCCAGUGAUCAAUUUCUGUUCACAACUGAUCCUAAUGAUAGGACUAAGAGCCAAAGGAAGCACAUAAACAAGACUAGUGUCUGCAAAUACUAGCUGAUAGAAUAAAAAAGGGAGAGAACGAUCCA